UGGAGCGACGCCGCGUGCAGGAUGAAGGCCUUAGGGUUGUAAACUGCUGUCACGCUAUAGGAACCACUUGUACUGAAUAGGUGCAGGUCUGACCAAAGCGAGAGGAAGCACCGGCUAACUCCGUGCCAGCAGCCGCGGUAAUACGGAGGGUGCAAGCGUUGUUCGGAUUCACUGGGCAUAAAGAGCAUGUAGGCGGCUCGCUCAGUCAGGUGUGAAAGCCCACGGCCCAACCGUGGAACUGCAUCUGAUACUGGCGAGCUUGAGGACGGAAGGGGUGAGUGGAACUCCAGGUGGAACGGUGAAAUGUAUAGAUAUCUGGAGGAACACCGGUGGCGAAAGCGGCUCACUGGUCCGUCUCUGACGCUGAGAUGCGAAAGCUAGGGUAGCGAACGGGAUUAGAUACCCCGGUAGUCCUAGCCGUAAACGAUGGGCACUAGGCAAUGGGCUUACUAUGAGGUUCAUUGCCGCAGCUAAUGUGUUAAGUGCCCCGCCUGGGGAGUACGCUCGCAAGGGUAAAACUCAAAGGAAUUGACGGGGCCUCACACAAAAAA
RNAcentral lists this ribosomal RNA (551 nucleotides) under uncultured Planctomycetota bacterium. RNAcentral describes it as "bacterial SSU rRNA". It matches the Rfam family "Bacterial small subunit ribosomal RNA", at positions 387 to 932 of the family's 1533-position model. Lineage: Bacteria; Pseudomonadati; Planctomycetota. The record is from RNAcentral.